GAAAGAAAGAGGGAGAAUGAGAGAGAGAGAGAGAGAGAAAGAUAGAGAGAAGUAACUAGGGUUUAUAUACCACCCCUAUGGCUUUGAAUGGCCCUGCUUAUAAUCAACUUUUGCACUAGUAUUCUAGUACAAUCCUUAUGAGAGAAUUAGCCUUUCCUCUUGGAGUAAAAAUAGUUUCAUUGGGUAACUGUAAGGCACGAAGUAUUAGAGGAAAUGCUUAUACACAUAGGUUAUGUUUAUACUUGAAAUUUGUUAAAAACCUUCAACAUGAUCCGUCCAAAAGGUUAUUGACUAUAUAUAUGUACAUAUAACAGGUGCAAUGAGAAAGAAAUUUUCAGCAAGGUUGUUUUCCUUAACUUGUACCUGCGUCCAGACUCUAUGGCCCGAAUUCACAAAGGCGGUUUGUAGACGAACCUAGGAUUAUGUGCGUCAUAUGAGGCGUUUCAAUGCGUUUCAGACCAAGGUUCAGACAAAGCUUGGUCCGAAACGUGUCAAAACGUGUCAUAUGAUGCACAUAACCCUAGGUCCUUCUUUGUGAAUUCGGGCCUAUGUGUAUAAAACUGCCUGUUACUGCCGUUAUAUAACUCCUUUUUUCCCUUCGUUCUUUUCUCCAUUAUUUCAUCAAGUAGACAUUGUUUUCAUUUUCAAUUCUUCUGUCCAUCAUUACAGUCAAAAGGGGAAAGCUGGUGGAAAGAAAGGAGGGGUCCAGAAGAUGAAGGAAAGGAAAGCAGAAGGAGAGAAAUCAGGGAAGAGCAAGCUUA
Strongylocentrotus purpuratus (purple sea urchin) is the source of this 761-nucleotide long non-coding RNA. RefSeq lists it as uncharacterized. NCBI's taxonomy places the organism in Eukaryota, Metazoa, Echinodermata, Echinoidea, Camarodonta, Strongylocentrotidae. The record is from RefSeq and is a predicted model, not a curated record. The transcript is spliced from 2 exons.